Long non-coding RNA from Drosophila miranda, 925 nucleotides. RefSeq lists it as uncharacterized. The record is from RefSeq and is a predicted model, not a curated record. Lineage: Eukaryota; Metazoa; Arthropoda; Insecta; Diptera; Drosophilidae. The transcript has 2 exons.
UCACUCCCCGACACCUGCCAAGUUCGUUACAGUUAUAAGUAAUUAUUAAUUUCAUUAUUAUAAAGUUAGUGGCGCCCAACAAUGGGACCCAAAAUAAUUGGUAGAACCGCAUCUCGAUGUGGUCAACAAUAUCGCAGGAACACACAUCAAAAACACUUUCGAUUUUUCUGGCAAACUAGAUACUAUGUAGUGAGCUUGAGAAGAGAAGCAUAUACGUUGGUCCGCUUUUAUUCUCAAACUACGGUUGCUGCAGCAUCUGGGCCAGAAUAACGAGCUUCACAGUCAGCUAAAUUUUGCAAAUCAGUCGCAUAGGAGUUAUUGUUGAGAAGUUGCUAGCAGCGAUCGACAAGCCACGGCUGAAGACGUAGAGCUUAGUAGGCGAUUAAAUACCCUACAGUAAUGGAGUCCGUAGCCCAACUAGUUAGACGUUUGGAAAAGCAGGGAAGAAGUCUUUAGAUAAGUCUACCCUGACCACGGAUAACAAGUUUUGGCAAAGACCCAUCCACUUUCAGCAAUAGUAUGCGGCAGAGCUAGCCAUCAAACGCUUGGAAAGACAGAACAAUCUCUUUAUAAAGAGUUUGCCUGGCCACGGGUGAUGGAAAACCAGCAUACCUGUCCGCAGAAGCAAGAGUGCGAAGGAGAGUAAAGAAGACGAAACUGAUUAGCUUCGAUUUACUCGCACUUUAGCUUGCAGUCGUUGUUUUUGUCUUGCGGAUCGGCGCGCCAAAGCAACAAAACAUUUGGUUGUUGCGAGGGCUGAUUAGCACGGCACAAGUAGCGGGGAACUAAGCUAUGCUUGAAGGCAAAUAAAUGUUUUUGUAUUUCUUUAUAUAUUGCGGUUUUUACAAAAUAUUAUUUUUUAUUUAUAAUUUGUUUUAUGUUUUGUUUUCAACAAUAAACGCGUCUCAAUUCCUCAAGCGGCAAA